RNAcentral lists this ribosomal RNA (253 nucleotides) under uncultured bacterium. Its description in RNAcentral is "partial 16S ribosomal RNA". It matches the Rfam family "Bacterial small subunit ribosomal RNA", at positions 524 to 776 of the family's 1533-position model. The record is from RNAcentral.
UACGUAGGGUCCGAGCGUUGUCCGGAAUUAUUGGGCGUAAAGGGCUCGUAGGCGGUUUGUCGCGUCGGGAGUGAAAACCCGGGGCUUAACCCCGUGCCUGCUUCCGAUACGGGCAGACUAGAGGUAUGCAGGGGAGAACGGAAUUCCUGGUGUAGCGGUGAAAUGCGCAGAUAUCAGGAGGAACACCGGUGGCGAAGGCGGUUCUCUGGGCAUUACCUGACGCUGAGGAGCGAAAGUGUGGGGAGCGAACAGG